This 496-nucleotide ribosomal RNA is filed under the name uncultured bacterium. RNAcentral describes it as "partial 16S ribosomal RNA". It matches the Rfam family "Bacterial small subunit ribosomal RNA", at positions 29 to 507 of the family's 1533-position model. The record is from RNAcentral.
AUGAACGCUGGCGGCGUGCCUAAUACAUGCAAGUCGAGCGAACAGACGAGGAGCUUGCUCCUCUGACGUUAGCGGCGGACGGGUGAGUAACACGUGGAUAACCUACCUAUAAGACUGGGAUAACUUCGGGAAACCGGAGCUAAUACCGGAUAAUAUAUUGAACCGCAUGGUUCAAUAGUGAAAGACGGUUUUGCUGUCACUUAUAGAUGGAUCCGCGCCGCAUUAGCUAGUUGGUAAGGUAACGGCUUACCAAGGCGACGAUGCGUAGCCGACCUGAGAGGGUGAUCGGCCACACUGGAACUGAGACACGGUCCAGACUCCUACGGAAGGCAGCAGUAGGGAAUCUUCCGCAAUGGGCGAAAGCCUGACGGAGCAACGCCGCGUGAGUGAUGAAGGUCUUCGGAUCGUAAAACUCUGUUAUUAGGGAAGAACAAAUGUGUAAGUAACUAUGCACGUCUUGACGGUACCUAAUCAGAAAGCCACGGCUAACUACGUG